This 204-nucleotide long non-coding RNA is filed under the name Mytilus galloprovincialis (Mediterranean mussel). The record is from RNAcentral. Lineage: Eukaryota; Metazoa; Mollusca; Bivalvia; Mytilida; Mytilidae.
GGGGGUCUACUGCUGUACGACGGAAGACCACAAGUGCCCAUGUUUAUAUUCAACAGUUACCCUUGUGGACAAAAUCUUUAUGAUACAGUUGAAUACUCAAACAACACAAUUUUCUCCACCUCAUUUGAUUAAGUGCCGUUCAUAAGUUUUUCAGAUAAUUCAACAGCUUGUUGUUUUGUACAGUUAAUGCAAUCUUCUGACCAA